Molecule: unclassified non-coding RNA, 200 nt
Filed under: Cylindrosympodium sp.
Lineage: Eukaryota; Fungi; Ascomycota; Dothideomycetes; Venturiales; Cylindrosympodiaceae
Description: partial internal transcribed spacer 2
Source: RNAcentral
UUAAGUUCAGCGGGUAUCCCCACCUGAUCCGAGGCCAACCUUGUGAGUUUGAGGUCGAGGCGGCCGCCGGCCGGGGUCCCGAGCGAGGGUUUUGCUACGCUCAGGGCCGGCCGUCGGCGCCCACGUGUUUCGGGGCCGCCCGCGGGCGGUCCCCAUCACAAGCGAAGCUUGAGGGUUGAAAUGGCGCUCGGACAGGUGUG